GAUGAACGCUGGCGGCGUGCUUAACACAUGCAAGUCGAACGGAAAGGCCCAAGCUUGCUUGGGUACUCGAGUGGCGAACGGGUGAGUAACACGUGGGUGAUCUGCCCUGCACUUCGGGAUAAGCCUGGGAAACUGGGUCUAAUACCGGAUAGGACCACAUUUUGGAUGGUGUGGUGGAAAGUUUUUCGGUGUGGGAUGAGCUCGCGGCCUAUCAGCUUGUUGGUGGGGUAAUGGGCUACCAAGGCGUCGACGGGUAGCCGGCCUGAGAGGGUGUACGGCCACAUUGGGACUGAGAUACGGCCCAGACUCCUACGGGAGGCAGCAGUGGGGAAUAUUGCACAAUGGGCGCAAGCCUGAUGCAGCGACGCCGCGUGGGGGAUGACGGCCUUCGGGUUGUAAACUCCUUUCGCUAGGGACGAAGCGUUUUUGUGACGGUACCUGGAGAAGAAGCACCGGCUAACUACGUG
This 467-nucleotide ribosomal RNA is filed under the name uncultured bacterium. RNAcentral's name for it is "partial 16S ribosomal RNA". It matches the Rfam family "Bacterial small subunit ribosomal RNA", at positions 28 to 507 of the family's 1533-position model. The record is from RNAcentral.